RNAcentral lists this long non-coding RNA (212 nucleotides) under Elaeis guineensis (African oil palm). RNAcentral describes it as "long non-coding RNA (EGUI_LNC050370)". The record is from RNAcentral. Lineage: Eukaryota; Viridiplantae; Streptophyta; Magnoliopsida; Arecales; Arecaceae.
GUAUCUAAAUAAUAAAGAUAUAGCCUAUCUUAGAGAGCACGGUCCACCUAUAGAUCACAAUCCAUCUCUUAAAGCUAUAGGCUAAUCUAAAUUAAAUUAGAUUUCAGUGGGUCGGAACAGUUUCACUCUUAUUCGAUAAAGAUCAUUGAUUCAAAAAGAUCCUAUUGGGUUCUCAUACUCCACCAUUGACAUCUAGCAAUAUAUAGUGGCAA